RNAcentral lists this ribosomal RNA (587 nucleotides) under uncultured bacterium. RNAcentral's name for it is "bacterial SSU rRNA". It matches the Rfam family "Bacterial small subunit ribosomal RNA", at positions 338 to 916 of the family's 1533-position model. The record is from RNAcentral.
CCUACGGGAGGCAGCAGUAGGGAAUCUUCCGCAAUGGACGAAAGUCUGACGGAGCAACGCCGCGUGAACGAAGAAGGCCUUCGGGUCGUAAAGUUCUGUUGUUAGGGAAGAACAAGUACCAGAGUAACUGCUGGCACCUUGACGGUACCUAACCAGAAAGCCACGGCUAACUACGUGCCAGCAGCCGCGGUAAUACGUAGGUGGCAAGCGUUGUCCGGAAUUAUUGGGCGUAAAGCGCGCGCAGGUGGUUCCUUAAGUCUGAUGUGAAAGCCCACGGCUCAACCGUGGAGGGUCAUUGGAAACUGGGGAACUUGAGUGCAGAAGAGGAAAGUGGAAUUCCAAGUGUAGCGGUGAAAUGCGUAGAGAUUUGGAGGAACACCAGUGGCGAAGGCGACUUUCUGGUCUGUAACUGACACUGAGGCGCGAAAGCGUGGGGAGCAAACAGGAUUAGAUACCCUGGUAGCCCACGCCGUAAACGAUGAGUGCUAAGUGUUAGAGGGUUUCCGCCCUUUAGUGCUGCAGCUAACGCAUUAAGCACUCCGCCUGGGGAGUACGGCCGCAAGGCUGAAACUCAAAGGAAUUGACGG